RNAcentral lists this ribosomal RNA (1426 nucleotides) under Escherichia coli. RNAcentral's name for it is "partial 23S ribosomal RNA". It matches the Rfam family "Bacterial large subunit ribosomal RNA", at positions 1540 to 2925 of the family's 2925-position model. Lineage: Bacteria; Pseudomonadati; Pseudomonadota; Gammaproteobacteria; Enterobacterales; Enterobacteriaceae. The record is from RNAcentral.
AUCCGGAAAAUCAAGGCUGAGGCGUGAUGACGAGGCACUACGGUGCUGAAGCAACAAAUGCCCUGCUUCCAGGAAAAGCCUCUAAGCAUCAGGUAACAUCAAAUCGUACCCCAAACCGACACAGGUGGUCAGGUAGAGAAUACCAAGGCGCUUGAGAGAACUCGGGUGAAGGAACUAGGCAAAAUGGUGCCGUAACUUCGGGAGAAGGCACGCUGAUAUGUAGGUGAAGCGACUUGCUCGUGGAGCUGAAAUCAGUCGAAGAUACCAGCUGGCUGCAACUGUUUAUUAAAAACACAGCACUGUGCAAACACGAAAGUGGACGUAUACGGUGUGACGCCUGCCCGGUGCCGGAAGGUUAAUUGAUGGGGUCAGCGCAAGCGAAGCUCUUGAUCGAAGCCCCGGUAAACGGCGGCCGUAACUAUAACGGUCCUAAGGUAGCGAAAUUCCUUGUCGGGUAAGUUCCGACCUGCACGAAUGGCGUAAUGAUGGCCAGGCUGUCUCCACCCGAGACUCAGUGAAAUUGAACUCGCUGUGAAGAUGCAGUGUACCCGCGGCAAGACGGAAAGACCCCGUGAACCUUUACUAUAGCUUGACACUGAACAUUGAGCCUUGAUGUGUAGGAUAGGUGGGAGGCUUAGAAGUGUGGACGCCAGUCUGCAUGGAGCCGACCUUGAAAUACCACCCUUUAAUGUUUGAUGUUCUAACGUUGACCCGUAAUCCGGGUUGCGGACAGUGUCUGGUGGGUAGUUUGACUGGGGCGGUCUCCUCCUAAAGAGUAACGGAGGAGCACGAAGGUUGGCUAAUCCUGGUCGGACAUCAGGAGGUUAGUGCAAUGGCAUAAGCCAGCUUGACUGCGAGCGUGACGGCGCGAGCAGGUGCGAAAGCAGGUCAUAGUGAUCCGGUGGUUCUGAAUGGAAGGGCCAUCGCUCAACGGAUAAAAGGUACUCCGGGGAUAACAGGCUGAUACCGCCCAAGAGUUCAUAUCGACGGCGGUGUUUGGCACCUCGAUGUCGGCUCAUCACAUCCUGGGGCUGAAGUAGGUCCCAAGGGUAUGGCUGUUCGCCAUUUAAAGUGGUACGCGAGCUGGGUUUAGAACGUCGUGAGACAGUUCGGUCCCUAUCUGCCGUGGGCGCUGGAGAACUGAGGGGGGCUGCUCCUAGUACGAGAGGACCGGAGUGGACGCAUCACUGGUGUUCGGGUUGUCAUGCCAAUGGCACUGCCCGGUAGCUAAAUGCGGAAGAGAUAAGUGCUGAAAGCAUCUAAGCACGAAACUUGCCCCGAGAUGAGUUCUCCCUGACUCCUUGAGAGUCCUGAAGGAACGUUGAAGACGACGACGUUGAUAGGCCGGGUGUGUAAGCGCAGCGAUGCGUUGAGCUAACCGGUACUAAUGAACCGUGAGGCUUAACCUUACAACGCCGAAGCUGUU